CGGGGUGAGUAACGCGUGGGUAACCUACCCUGUACAGGGGGAUAACAGUCAGAAAUGACUGCUAAUACCGCAUAAGACCACAGCACCGCAUGGUGCAGGGGUAAAAACUCCGGUGGUACAGGAUGGACCCGCGUCUGAUUAGCUGGUUGGUGAGGUAACGGCUCACCAAGGCGACGAUCAGUAGCCGGCUUGAGAGAGUGAACGGCCACAUUGGGACUGAGACACGGCCCAA
Molecule: ribosomal RNA, 232 nt
Filed under: uncultured bacterium
Lineage: Bacteria
Description: partial 16S ribosomal RNA
Rfam family: Bacterial small subunit ribosomal RNA
Source: RNAcentral